Molecule: ribosomal RNA, 469 nt
Filed under: uncultured bacterium
Lineage: Bacteria
Description: partial 16S ribosomal RNA
Rfam family: Bacterial small subunit ribosomal RNA
Source: RNAcentral
GACGAACGCUGGCGGCGUGCUUAACACAUGCAAGUCGAACGGAAAGGCCCUGCUUUUGUGGGGUGCUCGAGUGGCGAACGGGUGAGUAACACGUGAGUAACCUGCCCUUGACUUUGGGAUAACUUCAGGAAACUGGGGCUAAUACCGGAUAGGAGCUCCUGCUGCAUGGUGGGGGUUGGAAAGUUUCGGCGGUUGGGGAUGGACUCGCGGCUUAUCAGCUUGUUGGUGGGGUAGUGGCUUACCAAGGCUUUGACGGGUAGCCGGCCUGAGAGGGUGACCGGCCACAUUGGGACUGAGAUACGGCCCAGACUCCUACGGGAGGCAGCAGUGGGGAAUAUUGCACAAUGGGCGGAGGCCUGAUGCAGCAACGCCGCGUGCGGGAAUGACGGCCUUCGGGUUGUAAACCGCUUUCGCCUGUGACGAAGCGUGAGUGACGGUAAUGGGUAAAGAAGCACCGGCUAACUACGUG